Molecule: long non-coding RNA, 597 nt
Organism: Hypomesus transpacificus
Lineage: Eukaryota; Metazoa; Chordata; Actinopteri; Osmeriformes; Osmeridae
Exons: 2
Source: RefSeq, a predicted model, not a curated record
GCGGUUUCUCUUAUAAUUUGAUUCCAUUACUAGUUGAAUGUUCAGAAUUGAUGGAAAGUUUGGAUCACGGAGACACACGCAUUUUUAAGCGACAUAUUCAUUUUAUAAUUUGUGAGUUUAUGAAAAGUAAUUGUCAGGAACUUUGGGCAUUGGGUAUGCACGUUUUGUUGUACAGGGAUGACCGAUUGUUGAUCCGGUGGACGGAAUUUGCAAUUCAUAAAAUAAAUCUGCCUCUUUGUUAUACACUAAACAAUCUGCAUAUGCGUGAUAACAAAAUUCGGUUGGAAGUUGUGAGGUCGACAACGAAACCAUAAUCCAAGUGCGUGCUGGAAUCCAAUAUCCGCAGAUAAAACACUGUGCUUUCUCGCCGCAUUCUUUCGUUGGUAAUGGCUGUAGUUCAAAACGUGCAGACCCAUUAAACAGAAGGGUGAGGUGACGCUCAGCACUUGACGUAAUCUUUUCCGUUCUACUCUGCGGCCAGUGGGAACAUUCUCGAAGAUGUUGGGAGAAGAAAAUAAUAGGUUGACGAAGGAACAUGGUGUAGAACGUUGCUACUUCAUACACUCUCAUCGGAGGGACUUCAAGAACCUCUGCAAC